GGCUAAGGCAUGCAAGUCGCACGAGAAAGUCCCCUUCGGGAGGCGAGUAAAGUGGCGGAAGGGUUAGUAAUGCAUAGAUAACCUACCCCUGGCCCCGGAAUAACCUUCCUAACGGAGGGCUAAUACCGGCAAAGGAUAUCCCGAAGUCGCAUGGCUUUGGGAUCAAAGGCGGGGAUCCUUCGGGACCUGUCGACUGGGGAGGGGUCUAUGUCCUAUUAGCUUGUUGGUGGGGUAAUGGCCUACCAAGGCAACGAUGGGUAGCCGGCCUGAGAGGGCGACCGGCAACACUGGGACUGAGACACUGCCCAGACUCCUACGGGAGGCUGCAGUCGAGAAUCCUUCGCAAUGCCCGAAAGGGUGACGGAGCGACGCCGCGUGGAGGAUGAAGGCCCUCGGGUUGUAAACUCCUGUCAGGUGGGAAGAAUAGUAUCGGGCCAAAUAUUCCCGGUACCUGACGUUACCACCAGAGGAAGCACCAGCAAACUUCGUGCCAGCAGCUGCGGUAAUACGAAGGGUGCGAGCGUUGUUCGGAAUCACUGGGCUUAAAGGGCACGUAGGCGGAGUGAUAAAUCAGAAGUGAAAGCCCGGCGCUCAACGUCGGAAUUGCUUUUGAAAAUGUCUCUCUCGAGUGCAGGAGGGGAGAGCGGAACUCUUGGUGGAGCUGUGAAAUGCGUAAAUAUCAAGGGGAACGCCGGCGGCGAAAGCGGCUCUCUGGCCUGCUACUGACGCUGAGGUGCGAAAGCUAGGGGAGCAAAGAGGAUUAGAUACCCUUGUAGUCCUAGCCGUAAACGAUGGGCACUGAGUAGGGGAAGCGUUUAGUUUUCUCUGCUGUAGCUAAUGCGUUAAGUGCCCCGCCUGGGGAGUACGGUCGCAAGAUUAAAACUCAAAGGAAUUGACGGGGGCUCGCACAAGCGGUGGAGCAUGUGGCUUAAUUCGAUACAACGCGAAGAACCUUAUCCGGGGCUUGACAUGUUUGGGAAUCCCCCCGAAAGGGGGGAGUGCCUUCGGGAACCCUUACACAGGUGCUGCAUGGCUGUCGUCAGCUCGUGUUGUGAAAUGUUUGGUUAAGUCCUUUAACGAGCGGAACCCUUAUCCUUAGUUGCCAGCGGGUAAUGCCGGGGACUCUAGGGAGACCGCCGGUGUCAAGCCGGAGGAAGGAGAGGAUGACGUCAAGUCCUCAUGGCCUUUAUGCCCCGGGCUGCACACGUGCUACAAUGGCCGGUACAAAGGGAUGCAAGACCGUAAGGUGGAGCUGAACCCAAAAAGCCGGUCUCAGUUCGGAUUGGAGGCUGCAACUCGCCUUCAUGAAGUCGGAAUCGCUAGUAAUCGCGGAUCAGCAACGCCGCGGUGAAUAAGUUCCCGAGCCUUGUACACACCGCCCGUCAAGCCACGAAAGCUGGCAGUACCUGAAGUCGUGUACCCAACCCGUUAAUCGCGGGAGGGAAGCGCCCACGGUAAGGCCAGUGAUUGGGACUAAGUCGUAACAAGGUA
Molecule: ribosomal RNA, 1491 nt
Filed under: metagenome
Description: bacterial SSU rRNA
Rfam family: Bacterial small subunit ribosomal RNA
Source: RNAcentral